Long non-coding RNA from Armigeres subalbatus, 3218 nucleotides. RefSeq lists it as uncharacterized. The transcript is spliced from 9 exons. The record is from RefSeq and is a predicted model, not a curated record. Lineage: Eukaryota; Metazoa; Arthropoda; Insecta; Diptera; Culicidae.
UUGUUCAAAUCUGAGGAACCGGAAGUGCACGCCAUACUGAGCAAUAAAGGAAACGUUCAGCUGAUGAUCGAUGGGUUUUCGUUCUCCCGCGAAAAGGUUCGACCGAAAUCCGUUAGAUGGAUUUGCAACCAAGCAUGGGUUAUGAGCUGCAAAGUUCGUGCCACUAGCGAUAAACUAACUGGCAAAUUGAUAUCGGUCCGGGGAUCACACAACCAUGGCGUGAUCAACAACCGACGGAAAUGGGGUCAAUGUAAAUACAUCAAACAACAAUACGAACGGAUCUCGAAUGUUACGGAGGAGCCUCCAAGGAAAGGAGGCCGACCCAGAAAGCAGUCGCCAUUAGAAUAACUACAGUUUUUUAUCAAGAUAAAUACAACAAAAUUUCAUGCUCUACUAGUGUUCUAUUACUACAAUUUUAAUUUAGCCUUGAUAGAUUCGACAAAUAUUUUCAACUUGCGAUCAUUUGCAGAUGGCGUUACAUAUGUGAUAAGCAAUCGAGGAACAGUGCAGCUGUGCAUAAAUGGUUACAUUUUCACUAAAUCACAAGUGCGUGAAAGAAUAAUUAUUUGGAUUUGCAAUCAACGGAGAGCUCACGGUUGCAAAGCUCGAGCUACCACUGGUCGGGAGCCAGGAAGUGCGGUUAUUUCAAUCCGGGAGGACCAUUCCCACGACAUCAUCAUCGGGCGUAAUCGUAGCCGUAGAAAACCGAAUCGCCAGACUGAUAUCAUUUGCUCCGCCACCGAAUCAGAGCUGGAUCAUGAUGAGUUUGAUAUCUUGUAGUAAACGAUGAACUGUAAAUGAUUUUUUUAUGCCAACUAAUGCAAGAGUUAUAUAUGGUUGAACACAAUUGUCUUUCACAUAAGUGAAAAUGCUCCUAUGUCUUCCUGAGCAAGAAAGAUAUUUCAUUUGUAAUAAGCAAACGCGGAAAAACCCAACUGUGUGUGGAUGGAUUCCUCUACAUGCGUGUGAAAGCAACAGAAGAGGUGCAAUAUUGGUCGUGCAAUCAGUUCAGAGUAUUGGGUUGUACGGCUCGUGCUACUACUGGGCGAGCAAAGAAAAAUGAACAGCCGACCAUCAAACUGCGUGGUUUUCACAAUCAUAGAAUUAUUCUGAAACGCCGCAAGCCCGGAGAGUGCACGAAAUUGAAAGAAUUGUACGCUCGUCGACGGCUAUCGCAAGCUGAUUUGAAACCUGCUGUACCAGAACAACAGUGGCCCACAUAUCCAUCAAAACCACCCCUAAUGGAACCAUGUUUUAUGAAGACAGAAAAAUAAUGAUUCGUGCUUCAAAAAAAUACUUCACAUAGACAAAUCGAGUCCUAAAACCUGCCGGUAUGAUGCUUCCGCAUCAAGACUUUCACUACGUGGAAACCAAUAAGUCACUGAAACUAAUGAUACACGGUUACAGCUUCACCCGGAAGCAGAUACGCGAACGGUACACGAUCUGGGAGUGUUGCCAGUCGAGGCCACUUGGCUGCAAAGCGGCCGCCACCAGCUAUUUUGAGGAUAACCGUGUGAGCUUUCGCGGAGCGCACAACCACGCGAUCGUGACGGAGCGGCGGAAACUCGGUCAACGGAAGCGCCUGAUGGAGAAACGUCAACUGGAGCGAAUAGGGCGGAAAAUCAAACGUGACAAUUGAUUUAAUAUAGAUAAAAAAUAUAUAAAUUUCUAGCAUUUGUUCAAAGUUCAGCAUUAUAUGCACAGCUCAAUGCACACUAAUUUUUUAGAUGACUUAUAAAGACACAGCUUGUGCAAAGUACAAGUUGGAAGUAUUUGAAUAGUAUCAGUUAGAGAGAUGAUAAAAAUGAAACAAAAUAUCUAUUACAUGUUAUUUUCCUACAAAUUUAAUUAAAUUUUCAAAAAUAUUACAAAUGUUUAUAACUUGGUAGUUGUAAGUAUUUCAUUGGGCGUUGGUUCAAUUUCAGAUCUGCCGAAAUCGUUUUUUGUUCUAAGUGGCCAAGGAGCUCUGCACCUAUCGAUCGACGGAUUUGUUUUCGCGCAACAGGUGACAAAACACGACUCCAUAGAUUGGGCUUGCUCUCAGUCGCAAACAUUACAAUGCAACGCUCAGGCAACAACAGCGCGGGGAAAAGAUCGCAAGGUGCUUUCGAUUAGAGGCGAACACAACCACGGCGUAAUCACCGAACGUCGCAGAAAUGAUUCCCUGAAGGAUCUUGUUAAACAACGGAAGAAAGAGCGUGAUGUGAGGCGAAUGAGGCUGGCUGGAUCUCGCCAGCAAUCGAAUUAGAUGUUGCAAGAGACUUGAAUAAAUCGAAUUUCAUAUUACAAAUGUUGCGAUCGUUCCAGAAAAUCAGUCCCAUACUUGGAAAAAAUCGGCACUGAUUUGCUGUUUCGUGUUAGAUGUACAUAAUCUUAUUGUAGUACUAGAUUGAAUAUCCGUUAAUUUAAAUGGUCCAUUUCUUUCAGUACAUGUUACUGUGAACUAAUGUUUGACAUACAAUUUGUUUCGUUUAUCAUUACUUGCUGCUCUUAUUACGGUUGUAGAAGAAAAUGAAAACGAACCUUACGUCCAGUAUACGAUUAGCAGUCGUGGCACGCCACUGCUGUUGCUCGAUGGGUUCACCUUCACCAGGGAUAAAGUACGCAACAGUGUUACCUCAUGGAGAUGCUCUCAAUAUCGCACUCUCAGCUGCAAAGCACGCGCCAAUGCCGUCCGAGAUCGCAGCGGUCAGAAGAAAAUUGUUAUCAAACAUUCGCACAAUCAUCCGCUCGUAACCGAGCGCCGGAAGAAAAGUUCCUCUAAAUAAACAUAUGCGCUUCUACUAGUACCUCAUUAAACAUAGCCUGAAACUGCACAAGUCUUGUUUGCUCUUUAUUAUAAUUGAUUUUUAUUUUCAAAUCGUCAAAUUUGGAUAAAGCCUCAAUGAAUAAGAACGCUCAACUACUUCUAGGGACAGUAAUGUAUGCCGUUAGUCGUCGGGGUCGUCGUCAAGUCUGCUACUUGGGAUACUCGUUCGAGAUGGAGAAGGAACGAACUGGGUCUACCAGUUGGCGUUGCAAUCAAGCAAAGCCGCUCAAGUGCAAAGCUAGAAUAAUCGAGCGGUUCGACAUGUGCGGUGAUCCGAUAUACGAAAUCGUACGUUCAGAACAUAAUCACGAGAUCAUCACCGAACGACGGCCUCGAGGAUCGUUGAAACGGUGUGGUGUUAAAAGUUUAUUGCAUGUGAUUGAAUAAAUAUUAAUUUGACUUGACUCUA